Tauraco erythrolophus (red-crested turaco) is the source of this 1352-nucleotide non-coding RNA. Lineage: Eukaryota; Metazoa; Chordata; Aves; Musophagiformes; Musophagidae. The record is from RefSeq and is a predicted model, not a curated record.
GCAGGCAUCAAGAUUACGUGAGGAAGCCCAUAACAUGGGAAGUGUCCAUAUGUCAGAAAUUUGUACUGAAUUAAAGAAUUUAAGGUCUUUAGUUCGAGUAUGUGAAAUUCAAGCAACUUUGCGUGAGCAAAGGAUACUAUUUUUGAGGCAACAAAUUAAAGAACUUGAAAAGCUAAAGAAUCAGAAUUCCUUCAUGGUGUGAAAAGUUGUAAACAAUUGCACAUGGUUUUGAGUACAGGAACUAUUAAACUGAUGCCCAGUCUUAACACUUUUGAGCUGCAUUUGAGUAGACUUUGGACCGUUGAGCUGGGCAGAAAAAAAGUUGACAUGGGGAAGGGGACAGGAGGGAGUCAAAUUCAGGGGAAAGAUACAAGAAUGAUUUGUAAAACCCUUGAAAUGUAGAUUUCUUGUAGAUGUAUUCUUCACGUUGUAAAUAUGUUUUGUAGAGUGAAGCCAUGGGAAGCCAUGUGUAUCAGAGCUUAGACAUCCAAAACUAAUCAAUGCUGAGGUGGCUAAAUACCUAGCCUUUUACAUGUAAACCUGUCUGCAAAAUUAGCUUUCUUUUUUUUUCUUUUUUUUUCUUUUUUUUUUAGUUAAUUUAUCAUUCAGAAAUCUUGCAUUUCCUAAAAUUCAAUGCAAGCGCCAGGCGAUCUGUGUCUAAGGCUGCAACAAUUUGGGUAAUGUACAAAAUACCAUGAAACAACUGUUUCCACACUUGCACCGAAUCGAGAGCAGUGCUUCUCCAUUUCUGUUUUACAGAGAAAUGUUUUUCAUUUUCUGUGUUCCAUUUCCCCGUGAAAUCCUAAAUCUGAUUUUAUCAGUUUUUUAAUGCUUCUAAUUUUCUCUUUUCUUAAGGCACUGUUGCUAUGGCACUUUUUCUAUAAUCUUUUCAUUCCUGUGUACAGUAGCUUAAAAUUGCAGUGAUUGAGCAUAACCCACUUGUUUGUAUAAAUUAUUGAAACGUAUUUCCAUUUGCACCCUGUAAGAAUGGACUUAUAGUACUGCUGGGCAUGUGUGCUGAAAGUACAUUACUUGCUCAAAUAUAAGGAAAUAGCCCAAUGAACAUGUUAACAUGGUUGUGGGAGGGGAAAGAGGAAAAAAAAAAAAGCUAGUCAGAUGUGAAUUGUAUCUGUUGUAAUAAACAUGUUAAAACAAAGAAACACUGGUUUUCAUUUCCUUUGGUCAACACAUAUUAAAAUUUGGUCUGUUUGGGGACUCUUUAUUAGAACUGUUCUUGUUGAACACUUUUGUACUUAAAUAAUUCCUCAAGGGAGGUUUUGUUUAAAACUUGUAAACAGGAAAAUGUGUAUAAAAUAUUUAAUGAAAUAUAAAAUUCAACAAGAAUGAUUUAA